UCAUUUUUUCUCUUCUUUCUUAUUAUGAUUUCUAUUUGUUUAUUUCUUUAAUACGAUUGUGACUUUUUUCUUGUUUCUUUUUCUCUGAAAUCAAUUGUGACGAUUAGUUAAUUGUUCUAUUUUUAACUUACUGUGAUUAAGGAGAAUUAGAAUUAGAAUGUUGAAUUUACCGAUUAGAUUAUUUCUGUGAAUUUACGAUGUUGAUUUGUUUGUUAUUCUUUGUUAGGCCUAAGGGUUAUUGGUUUGAUUUUCUAUUCUUUUUCAUUUCAUUUCCUCUUCAGUUUUAUUAACAUUAAUUAUCUAAUAUUUUGUUUACUCUCUUUCACCUUCUAUUUAUCCUAAUUAAGAUGAUUAUAGGAAUUUAUUUUAUAAUCAAUUCUUAAAUCAAUUUAAUUUUUCUUCUUCCUCUUUUUACUUUAUUCUCUCUUCCUUGUUGUUAUCCUUCCUGUUUGUCUUUAGUAUUCAUGAUGAUAGAAAAGUGUCCCAAUGACCAUGACCAAUUUUUUUCUUUUCCAAUAUUUUCCAUGAUUUUUGUUAAUCACGAUUAAGUGGAAACGUUUAGCGAAGUUACUGUUAAACGACUGCUAAUGAUUUACGCCUCGAUACAAUCUAAUUAACCUUCAACUGAAUCAAAUUUAAUUCUCCUUGAAAGAAUUAGAAUCAUCAGAGGAUCAAUGUUUUCCUUCAAUGGCGAUCAUUUCCCGAAAAGAGAAUCUGUCUCAUCAUGUAUAAGUGAAAUUCAACAAUAAUUUACAUGAUAUUUGGAGAAUUCAAAUUGUGAAAAAUAAUUACAAAAUCAAUGGUGUAUUUAAAUAAGCAAAAUGGUGUUUAUUUGCAAUUUACUUCAUUACAUCUCGUUUGAUUGGUUAUCAACUUCAGGAAAAUGAGCUGAUUUCAUCUAAAAGGAAACAAGAAGAAUGAAAAGAAAAGUCUUCUUUGGCUGUUGAGUUUAUGGCUUUAAUUGUCAACGAGUAAUUAGCUAUUUGAAGAGAUUCGACUAUUUGAAUUGUUGAUCAUUUUGUACAAACCAAUAUACAUAAAUGUUAACAUGAAAUCAAGAAAGAUGAGGAACAUGUUGCGUUGAAAGAAAUCAAGAAUCAUACCAAAGUGGAUCAUCGUCGAUUCUUGUAAAUUAGAAUCACUUCCGAUUAUGAACAAAAACAAAACAAAAGUAAUAACACAAAUUUGAUGACACUUAGAAAUUUGGAAUAACAAUGGGAGAAUGAUUAAUGUCAGUAAUUAAUCUUGAAGCGAAGAAAGAAACAAAGAAGUGAGAAAAAAUUCCAAAAAGCUUCAGAGAAAAUGGAAUUCAUAUUAAAGAUGAAAUAAUACACAGAAUAUAAGAAAAAGGAGCCAAAUCGAGUCAAUGGAGAACAAUUUAGUUUACUGAAUGAAGAAAACGAUGAAAUGAAACGAUUGAGUUGAAGGAACCAACGGUAAAAGUGGAUCACUGAAAAUGUAAGGAACUGUAAUCACUUUUUGAUAAGUUGGAUAAUCUCAAGUGAGUUAAGGUGAGUUAAAGAUAAUCUCUCGAGGACAUCGUUAAGGUUGAAUCUGAUUUUCCAAUUCUUACUAUCAGAGAAUCGUUUACCUCCAUGAUGUAAUUUGGUUAAUUGAGAUUUUCUUAUACUUAAUGAACCCACAAAAAAAUCUGUAAGAGAAAUAAAAUAAAAAACUAUUAACAAGGAUACAAAAUAUUUCCUAUUACAAUCAUAACAUUAUCAACGUUUCAAUGGAUGGUUAUUUGAUUUCUCAAAUAUUAUCAUGUAAAUGUCUUGAGGCAACAAAUUAUCAAAUUUUUUCUUCUGUAAAGAUAAAAAUAAAUUCAACUAAUCACCUGAAAAUUUCACAUUCAAUGUCACUUUCUCUUAAAAUGAAAAAUUUGCAAGUCUCAUAAACGAUAAUCAUUAAAAUCUCUUCCGAGUUUUCUUACCUUGAUCUCAUUAGGAAAUUGAUUUGAUUAGGAGAUUUCAAUUGUUCCAUUGGAGCAAAAGAGAUGGAAUCAAAAAGAUCAACCAGAUAGAAGAUAAAUCAAAUUGAAUUAGUUUCAUUCUCAAUUGUAAACAUAAAAGUUUCGUUUCUGUGGGAAUAUAGAGUAAGUAUUGACGAUAAUUCAGGCCAAAGAAUAAUAAACAAAUCGAGAGAGAGACACGAAUAUAUUUGAAUAUUUCAUGGUUCCAUUAAUAAAUGUAUCUAAAUAUUUAGGAGAAAAAUUUUUACUUACUUGAUUAUCCAAGAAAAUAAUUCAUUUCCAUUGAAUAAAUAGAUGAAAGUUAAUCACCCAAAACAGUUUCCAUGUCACAUAGCGACAAAGUCACUCGAUUCCAAGUGAAUAGAAACAAACAUGAUGAGAGAGUAAAGGAAAGAAAAUGAUGAGAAUUGAGAAAGUAAAAACAUUUCUAAGAUUAUCCAUUAAACACUAAUAAAAACAACAAUUAAACCCAAAUGUUUACACUAAAUAAAAAUCGGAAAUGAACAUGGAACCAUUUUCAUUGCAAUUGGAAUCACUGAAUUGAUUAGACUUCAUUUUUUUCACUGACAAAAUUUUUACAGAGGAAAAUUGAACUCACCCAAUUACAAAUGAGACUUUCUCAUUACGAGAUUUAUUUAUAAAUCGAGUCUAUUUUUAACUCUAUUUCAUGGUAAACACUGAGAAAAGAACAAAUUUCAUAGACAAAAUUAAAGAAGAGAAAUAUUUUCUUGCCAAGAAAUGAAAAGAGAAACUAAAACCAAGAUGGCGAAGUGAAGAAAAAGAGAAGAGAACAAAAAAUGAAGAUAGAAAAGAACAAAAUGUUUUCUCUUUUCUCUGUUCACUUUGUCUCUUGUUCUUCAUUGUCACAGUUCAACAUUCAAAUUAAUUCUUUCAAUUAAAUUUAAAUUUUUCUUCUUUUUAAAUUAACUAAUCAAUUUUUCUUCUUCAUCUCAAUUAAUCUGAUUGAUCCGAGUGUUUCUUUUUUCUGAAUCUAUUACAAGAUUAUAUGGAUUAAACUACUUGUUGAAUGUUCUUCUUCUUGUAAUUAAUUACAUUUUUUGUUCUGUUUGUUGGUCAUGUUGAUUGUUCUUUAUUGUUAAUUGUGUUAUUUGAUUUAAUCACAAUCAUGGAUUGUUAUACUUGUAUUAAGUGGUCAGUUGUUUCUCUCCUAAUUUCCAGUUCAAUUGUUUAUUUAAUCGCUUAUGGAUUAGCUGUUCCGUUGGUUGAAACUCAUCUUAUUGAGUUUCAUAUGUUUUACCUGUUAACCCUUUUUACUAAUUUUUUUGGUAUUUAUGGUACAAUUAAGGAAAGAUAUUGUUACCUUUUCUGUGUAAUCUUUAAUCUAAUCUCUUUAUUCAUCAUGUCAAUCCUUGUAAAUCUACUUAAUCUUGGUUUGUCCAUUUUCUAUUGCCUUGUUAUAUCUGAUGUGAUACUUUUUGCUAUUUGUGUUAAAAACUGUAAUGAACCGGACUAUUGAUUAACCAAAUCAUUAAUAUUAAUCAUUCUUCAUCUUUAUCACAAUAAUCAUGAUCAUCAACUUGAAACAAUCAGUUAACUGUAUUAAUCAUCAUUGGUUUGCUUAAUCCUGAAUGAUUUCUUAAUCCAAAUAAGAAAAAAAAAUGAAAAGACGAAACAAUCAACUCCAUUGAAAAGUGAAUCGUUUAUUGUUUUAACAUGAGGGACAAACAAUUGCUCUCAUUGUUAUUAUCGGUGUUAAUUGUAAUUAAUUUCUUUCAUUUAAAAGAAAACCACAAUUAUGAUUCCACAUAAAAAUAUGUAUGGAUUUGUAUGUGCAUGGAAAAACAAAGUGUGUAUUUACCCAUUGAAUUAAAAGAUUGUUAAAAUUAA
This is a long non-coding RNA of Panonychus citri (citrus red mite), 3820 nucleotides long. RefSeq lists it as uncharacterized. Lineage: Eukaryota; Metazoa; Arthropoda; Arachnida; Trombidiformes; Tetranychidae. The record is from RefSeq and is a predicted model, not a curated record. The transcript is spliced from 2 exons.